This 358-nucleotide RNase P RNA is filed under the name Bacteroidetes bacterium GWA2_30_7. Its description in RNAcentral is "RNase P RNA component class A". It matches the Rfam family "Bacterial RNase P class A". Rfam says of the family: Ribonuclease P (RNase P) is a ubiquitous endoribonuclease, found in archaea, bacteria and eukarya as well as chloroplasts and mitochondria. Its best characterised activity is the generation of mature 5'-ends of tRNAs by cleaving the 5'-leader elements of precursor-tRNAs. Lineage: Bacteria; Pseudomonadati; Bacteroidota. The record is from RNAcentral.
AAAGCAGGUCGUUCUAUCGCCCAGAUUAUAUCGGGGAGGAAAGUCCGGACAGCGCUGGGUAACACACUUCCUAACAGGAAGAUAUCCGUGAGGGUAUAGUAAUGGAACAGAAAAUAACCGCCCCGAUUCGUCGAGGUAAGGGUGAAAAGGUGAGGUAAGAGCUUACCGGUACAGAUGGCAACAUUUGUAGCCGUGCAACUUGUGUGCUGCAAGACCAUGUAUACCGGCAGUUGAGGAUGACCCGUCCGAUGCCGGGGGGUAGGUCGCAUAAGGUAACAGGCAACUGUUAUCUCAGAUAAAUGAUAGAAUUUACGGCUCACCGUAAAAACAGAAUCCGGCUUAUAGACCUGCUUUUUUU